GGAGAGGUGGCAGAGCGGUUGAAUGCGACGGUCUUGAAAACCGUUGAGGGGAGACCCUCCGAGAGUUCGAAUCUCUCCCUCUCCGCCA
RNAcentral lists this transfer RNA (88 nucleotides) under Candidatus Omnitrophota bacterium. Its description in RNAcentral is "tRNA-Ser". It matches the Rfam family "tRNA". From Rfam's summary of the family: Transfer RNA (tRNA) molecules are approximately 80 nucleotides in length. The record is from RNAcentral. Lineage: Bacteria; Pseudomonadati; Candidatus Omnitrophota.